UGGGGAAUAUUGGACAAUGGGCGAAAGCCUGAUCCAGCCAUGCCGCGUGUGUGAAGAAGGUCUUCGGAUUGUAAAGCACUUUAAGUUGGGAGGAAGGGUAGUAAGCGAAUACCUUGCUGUUUUGACGUUACCGACAGAAUAAGCACCGGCUAACUCUGUGCCAGCAGCUGCGGCAAUACAGAGGGUGCAAGCGUUAAUCGGAAUUACUGGGCGUAAAGCGCGCGUAGGUGGUUCGUUAAGUUGAAUGUGAGAGCCCCUGGCUCAACCUGGGAACUGCAUCCAAAACUGGCGAACUCGAGUAGGGCAGAGGGUGGUGGAAUUUCCUGUGUAGCGGUGAAAUGCGUAGAUAUAGAAAGCAACACCACUGGCGAAGGCGACCACCUGGGCUCAUACUGACACUGAGGUGCGAAAGCGUGGGGAGCAAACAGG
Molecule: ribosomal RNA, 429 nt
Filed under: Pseudomonadota bacterium
Lineage: Bacteria; Pseudomonadati; Pseudomonadota
Description: Proteobacteria bacterium partial 16S ribosomal RNA
Rfam family: Bacterial small subunit ribosomal RNA
Source: RNAcentral